RNAcentral lists this long non-coding RNA (790 nucleotides) under Drosophila guanche. Lineage: Eukaryota; Metazoa; Arthropoda; Insecta; Diptera; Drosophilidae. The record is from RNAcentral.
GUUGACUGGAGGGCAUAAGUGUGAUCAGUUAUGGAAAUAUUACAGCCCGGACAUAGGCUGAUUGUCUGGGGGACUAUCUAUAUGUCGGUCCUAAUGCACUGCGAUGCUGAUCGAUGCUUUCCUGUUGUCAUCCCCGAAUGCCAAGAUGCAACAUACAACCAAGGGAAUGGUGUACCUCCACGUGAGAUAAGCCAUGGUGGACUAAUACCAGACGUGCAAAAUGUACUCCAGCCAGAGCAAAACCCGGAUGGAGACUUACCAGAUGGACAAUUUAUACCGCCACCAGCUGGACACUAUGGCACACCCUCACAAAAUGAAAGAGAUCCAAAGUGCUUUUAUGUGCGAGUUCGUGAGGACUUUCAAGAUCCACCAGACUAUCCAGAUUAUAUCUACGGUCUUUCGCCAUAUGCGAGAGCAGGUCAAGUGCCAAAUCCCUAUUGGGUUCGGCAUCCAAAACACAAAGUACAAAAAAGGAAACUUGGAAAAGGAAAGAUAAGACACAGAAGUAGCAGCACGAAGUCACGUAGAAAAUCAAAAUCAUGGAAGCAUCCAAAAAGAUAAGUGGAUCCCAUUUUUUAUUAUCUGGCGACGCUCAUCAAAAUAAUAAAAGAAACACGGAAAACCAUAAACAGAAUGGUCUAGAAUCACUUUGAAAUAUAUAUUCUGCUUUUCAAUAAUUUAUUUUUAGUCUGAUUGAAUUUUCAACAGAAAAACGAUCGCUGGCGUUUCAGUUUUUGUAUAUGAUGUGCGAAAAAUCAAUCAUAAUGAAAAUAAAUGUAUAUAUUUUAAC